GUCUUUCAAGUCCGAUGCUAAAGACUGGGGCUCAACCCCAGGGGUGCGUUGGAUACUGUGAGGCUAGACGGUCGGAGGGGGUAGCGGAAUUUCCGGAGUAGCGGUGAAAUGCGCAGAUACCGGAAGGAACGCCAAUAGCGAAGGCAGCUACCUGGACGACUUGUGACGCUGAGGCGCGAAAGCGUGGGGAGCAAACCGGAUUAGAUACCCGGGUAGUCCACGCCCUAAACCAUGAGUGCUGGGUGUCCGGCUUCUGCUGGGUGCCGUAGCUAACGCGCUAAGCACUCCGCCUGGGAAGUACGCACGCAAGUGUGAAACUCAAAGGAAUUGACGGGGGCCCGCACAAGCGGUGGAGCAUGUGGUUUAAUUCGAAGCGACGCGAAGAACCUUACCAGGCCUUGACAUGCCCGGAACCCCUCUGAAAGGAGGGGGUGCCCGCAAGGGAGCCGGGACACAGGUGCUGCAUGGCCGUCGUCAGCUCGUGUCGUGAGAUGUUGGGUUAAGUCCCGCAACGAGCGCAACCCCUAUCCCUAGUUGCCAGCAGUUCGGCUGGGCACUCUAUGGAGACUGCCUGCGAAAGCAGGAGGAAGGCGGGGAUGACGUCUGGUCCGCAUGGCCCUUACGGCCUGGGCGACACACGUGCUACAAUGCCAAGGACAGAGCGCUGCUACCUCGCGAGAGGACGCCAAUCGCAAAAACCUUGGCUCAGUUCGGAUUGGAGUCUGCAACUCGACUCCAUGAAGCCGGAAUCGCUAGUAAU
RNAcentral lists this ribosomal RNA (760 nucleotides) under uncultured Thermaceae bacterium. Its description in RNAcentral is "bacterial SSU rRNA". It matches the Rfam family "Bacterial small subunit ribosomal RNA", at positions 578 to 1342 of the family's 1533-position model. The record is from RNAcentral. Lineage: Bacteria; Thermotogati; Deinococcota; Deinococci; Thermales; Thermaceae.